AGAGCGUUCCGAAGGUUCUCCUUGGGGAAUGGCACCGCCAAGAACGUUCCACUAGGGGCGCUGUAGGGCGCCCUGCGCAGAUAAAGGGAUUUUGGUUUUUUCGUGUCAGGAGCCACCGGAGUUGCUUCUGGAGUUAAAGACAGUUGUCUCUGGGGAGUAGAGUCCAACCACCGAAUGCAUCUCACAAAGGCCAACAGGUAAUCUUCAGACUUUGGUAACUCCUCCGUCAUAAGGAAGCAGCACUUGAUUUGAACUGACACCUUUGAAGAAGGAUCCUCCAUAUCCAAUUAUCCAGUUCCCUGAUGAGACUAUGUUUACCUGAAGACUCUGAAGUGUGAUGAGAGGAGUUUGAUGUUUUCAGUGAUAUUGCAACUAGUCUGCAUUCCUGUCUAUUAUAUAAACUUCUAUUCCAUUGCUCCUUAUCUUCUUUCUAGAUUUCCUUCAUAAGAGACCUGUUUAAUUUAUUAUUCCAUCCAAAUUGGUGUUUGACCACAUUACAGAAUUUAUGUAAUGAAAAGAAGGAAUUAUGAAUUUUUACUGAUUGCGUUAAUAAGACUGAAAUAUUCACUUAUCUAGUAACUGGGUUGAUCUUUGAUUUAGCCUAUGGGGCCUGGCUGUAUUAGCAAUUGAGACUGUGGGUAGAAGCAAUUACUUUGAGGCUGACUUUGGAGAGAAACUGGUCUUCAACAGGUGCUGGCUUUACUUUCCUGGAUACUGAUGGGACAAGAGCAAGUCACAAGAGAAUGGGAGUAACAUUUCAGUUCCAAGCAUGAAAAACAAGACAGCAGGCUUAGCCCUUUUUGUUUCAAAAGUCUGUAAGAAUAAAAAGAGUUUUUCCCCUGCCACUGGAAGAACAGCAGAAGGGAGCAUUCUGGCCUCCUUCUUAUGCCCAUCAAACUUGUUUGUGCUAAAGGGUUGCAUUUGAAAAGUUACGUAAUGGUUAGCAUUAUUUGGGAUGGAGAAGGGCUUGAAGGAGAGGUUACUGACACUAUAAUAAUAAAAUAAUAAAACUUUAUUUGUAUACCGCUCUAUCGCCCCAAAGGGACACAGGGCAGUUUCCAACAUAGGUAAAACAUUCAAUUAUCAACACAGAAACAUACAACACAACCAUAAUAAAACAUCAACAUAAUUACAAUUGACACAACAUAUUCAUGUAUAAUUAAAACCAGCUCAAUGCUC
Molecule: long non-coding RNA, 1179 nt
Organism: Anolis carolinensis (green anole)
Lineage: Eukaryota; Metazoa; Chordata; Lepidosauria; Squamata; Anolidae
Exons: 2
Source: RefSeq, a predicted model, not a curated record